This 9519-nucleotide long non-coding RNA is filed under the name Gossypium raimondii (Peruvian cotton). RNAcentral describes it as "long non-coding RNA (GRAI_LNC003350)". The record is from RNAcentral. Lineage: Eukaryota; Viridiplantae; Streptophyta; Magnoliopsida; Malvales; Malvaceae.
AUGGAAGUUCCUUCUUGUUUGUCUUUGCACCUCAAGGAGAUUAAAAUUUUGAACUUUAAGGGAGACACGCGAAUGUUUGAAAUGAUUAGUUAUUUCUUGGAUAAUGCUAUGGUCCUGGAAAAGCUCAUGAUAGGAAUGGAAUCCCUGUCUGAGACACAACAAUCGAUUGUCUUCAACCAAUUAUUGCAGUUACCAAAGAGUUCAAAGAAAUGUCAAGUUGUGAUUUUCUAGUACUGUUUUAUGUUAUGGUUAGAACUGAUCAGUGUCUGGUUUGGCUUUGUAUAGAUGUGUUGUUUGAAAUAUACAUUUAGUGUUAAUAUCCUAUACAUUCACUAAUAGCAAUACUGAAUAUCUGAUAGUUGGUUUAUAUAUGUAUGUGUAUGUAUAUUUAUGGGUAUAUAUAUGUAUUGUAGCCAAAAAUAGCCUUUGAAAUUGAUAUGUAGCCCAUGAUUGGAAAAAUAGAAACAUAUUUUAAUUUGUAAGAAACAAUCGUAUGAUAUACCUUACACAACAAGCUCUGAUAGGAAGAACAUCGGAUUGAUUUGGAACUAUUUGAGAACAAGAAAAAGGGGAGCUCCCUAGUUAUGGGGAUUUGUACAUUCUUACCAACAGCAAAGAAGGCUUCCAUUGUUCCUGUUGUAGGCUGAUUUGGUUCAACACAGGCCAUUGAAGAUGAAGGUUUGAGAACUAGAGAUUUUAGCCUGCUAGAAUGCUGGAAUUUAGCUUCCUUGAGACUGAAAUGAUGUUUAAGAUCCCUUGAUUUGACUAUGGAACUCACACCAUUGACACCAAUGCUUGCGCCUUACAGGUCAGUCGGUGUUGAUAAUAUCCAACUCUAAACUCGUCUCUCUGGUGCAUUCCUCUGUCAAAAUAUCAUCUGAAAGUUUCAGUGUUGCGUGAAAGAAAUUUGGUGAAAUUAUCAUGAAAUGAGUGAGGUACUUCUACUAAAAAAAUGAGUAAAUUAAUCCUGUAGUAUGAAGAUGAAAGAGCAAAAUAACCAUCCCAUUAAGAAAGAAGCUUUAAGUAACGGUAAAGACAGCGAUGUCGUGCCCAAGAGAACCUAGCUCGGAUACGAGAUUGAAGAACAAAUAGCUGACAAACGGAAAAAUAAAAUAAAAUAAAAAGAACAAAGGGAUGAUGAUUUAUUCAAUGAAAUGAUUUAUUCAAUGAAAUGAGUGCAUAUUUAUAGGCUUAGCAAAGACCUAUUUUUAGGCAAAAUAAAUUCACUAAAAAUUUAGUAACAGCCAAACAAAUAAGUAAAAAAUAGCUAACAAAUAAAUAGCGAAAAUAUGAUGAUAGACUUGGUCAAUAAAUGACCACGUGUUGAUGUUGAUAUCUUCAAUAGUUAGCAUCCGCAUAACCGAAUAAAGAAGGACGAAAAACAAUCCCAUACUCAUAAUAAUGGUGAACGCCAUGAUUGCGACACAUGAAAGUAAAGCCUGCAACCAAUUAUUGCGGUUACUAAAGAGUUCAAAGAAAUGUCAAAUUAUAGUACUAAAUUAUCAGAUUCUUGUGAAAUGUAAAUUUGGUUUUUAGUUAAACUAUUUUAAUUUAAUAGAGGUUUGGAUUUUGUUUUUGCAUUUUUGUAUCUUUCUUCUCUUAUUUGCUAGCAACUUCAUUUAAUUAUUUAAAAGUUUUCAUUUAAAUUAUUAAUCAACUAAAAUAAUUGAUGUAUAAUUUUUUAUUGUGCUCGCUUGUACGAAUCAACAGCUAUUAUUCUUUUUUUUCCUCAGUAUUUUCAUAGAGCUCGCUAGACUUAAAAAAAAAAAAACAUCACAGUAACCUACAUAAAAUAAUACCAAGAAGCCCCUUUACUGUAAUAUAACAUCGACAAGAGGCUGAAGAUCCCUGUCAAGCAAAUUGUACUCUCAUAUGCUCCUAUAAUAUUCACAAUACAUAAUGACAUAAAUUCCAUGAAAGUCCAUAUACUAAGAGUCAAAUUUAUUUACAUUUUUAUUUUCAUAAAGUAGGUUGGAUAAAAUUGAAUUUAACAUUUUUGGUUUUUCAUCGAUUAAAUAAAUGUUUUUAGAAUCAAACUAGAUCGUUCGGUUGAAAAUUUAAUUGAUUGCAGUAUUGGUCUGAAGAUAAAGGUUAAAUCGAUUGACCUGUGAAGUGAAACAAAUAACCAAGUUUAGAAAAAUCGGUGAAUUUUCUCUAUUCUUUAAAUAAUUUAUUUUUUAUUUUACGAUUUUUUUUAAACAAAUAACCAAUCUUAAACCUCCCGCCAAUGCAAGUCCGGUCUGCCUUUAAUCGUCGACAGUGUAUGAUAGUAAGACUGUAUAUCGGAGAGACAAUACACAUCUCCUUUGCGUGCUAGAUGGUCCAGAUUUAAUGAAUCGCUAACUAUUGAAGAGAGGAGAAAUUGUUAUCUCUAAUGUUUCCAACCUUGUGAAUUCAGGUAAUGCUUCCUCUUAUCUAUUAUCUUACUAUGAACAUGUCUGCAAAUGGUAAGAGUUGGCUGAUGGACAUAGGUAAUCUGCAUAUGUAAUGUAAGUUCUUGAAAUGUGAUCAUCACAGAAGUUAAAAACUUAGGUCCUUGACACUAUGGCUUUUCUAGUCUAAUAUGAGAAAUGGAUUGUCCAAUAUCAUGUUAAUUAUGCAUCUUAGAUAGCAAAGGCUAGUUGGAUCGGGAUAUUGAUCUGAAAUAAGAGAUUGGAUUGUCUGACUCUAGAAAUGGUAUGAACCAGUUAAACCAACCGUUGGAGUAAAAAUCUUGAAAAUCUUAUUGGAACUUAUCAUAGGCCAAAGUUAGGUUCAAUCAAGUUUUUGUAAUAACCUAAACUCACAAGAGAAGAAAAAGAGAAAUGUUAUCGUAAUUGUAAAUAUCGAAAAUAAUCAAUUACAAUAAAUACGAGUAUUUAAACAUAAUUUCAUACUAAAUCGAGAAUAAGUGUCUUUAAAUUAGACACACGCAUUAUGUCUUGUUCUUUUCUUCAGGAGAUGCUGCGGGUUACAUACUUCACACUCGAUCAAUUAAAAAAAGACAUGAAGGAAUAGUACAGGUAAUAACUUUGAGAUUUACUUUGUACAUGUAUUAUAUUGCACAUUAGGUAAAAGUUAAGGGAUCAAUUUUGAUAUUAACCCUAAAUCUUAUAUAAAGCUAAGAAAGUACGGCAUUAAUAAGUUUUUUGUAUCUCAAGCGGAUUCUACCAAAGGUAAGAGCUUUCCUUAUCUUCCUUCCACAAAUCCGAGUCGGUGGCUGUCACCGCCACCCACGGCCGCCAUCAGAGUUCGAAGCCAGACAUAAGCUAGUGAAGCGGAACCACAAAACAAAAGCGAAAAACUCUCCGGUUCCUAUCGCCGGCCGUCGGACAGGUCUGCAGUUUUCUUAUCUUAUGGCGAUGUGUUCCGAAGACAGAAUCAGUAGUUUACCGGAUCAUAUUCUUUGUCAUAUUUUGUCUUUCCUUCCUCUUAAAGAAGCAGUUCGAACCUCUGUUAUUUCAACCAAGUGGAGAUACCUCUUUGCUUCAAUUUCUACCAUUGAAUUUGAUGAUAGUUUACUGAGUGGUUUGACUGACAGAAAUGUUGACAGCUUCAAGAACUUUGUUGAUAGGUUAUUGAAAUUCCCCGAUCAGGUAAGUUUAGAUUGCUUUAGGCUAAGUGAUGGGAUUUCAUUGAAUGAUGAAGAUCAUGAUUUUGAUGUUUCUGGUUGGAUAUGUGCUGCAUUGUGCCGUGGUGUUAAGGAAAUUGAUUUGUUCUUAGAUUAUUUUGGGUGUGUUCUCACUGUACCAGCUGUUUUAUUCACUUGCCACUCACUGGUGACACUGAAAUUGAAUGCAGAAUGUCGUAAGAUUGAUGUCCCAUCUGACGUUUGUUUAGGAAAUCUGAAGACUUUGCAGCUUAGAAACACUGUAGUUGACGGUGAUUCCAUUCAUAGGUUAAUUUCCAAUUGCCAUGUCUUAGAAGAUUUGGCUUUUAUUGAAUGUCAUCUUAUGUAUGCAAGUGCGCUCAAUAUCAAAACUCCUUCUCUUAAGAGAUUGGUUUUAGAUUUGGAUGUGGUAGAAUACGGAGAUUUCAAUAAUGUGGUGGUGAUUAAUGCUCCAAAUCUUGAAAAAGCCGAUAUUAGCAUCUAUCUGUUUGGUUUCAGUGAUCGUGAAACAAGUGCAACUCAUCUUAUUCAAGGAAUUAUUCAAGGAAUUUGCACUGUGCGGUCUCUGAAUUUAACCAUUAAUGACCUGGUUAGUAAACUUAGUAUUCAUGUGUGAUUUUCCUUUUUAACAUCAUAUAAUUUAACAUUAUAUAAUAGCCUCAAGUAUUUUUGUGUGCAGAUUUUCCGAACGUGUCGACUUCCUAUAUUUCACAACCUUAUUAAAUUUGAAUAUGGUGUUCUUGGUUCUAAUGGGAGAGAAACUUGGCUUGUGGAGUUUCUACAUUGUGCGCCUAAUCUAAAUACGCUUACCCUCAAUUUUCUGGUAUGAAGUCUUUUUCUGAGUACGUGUAUUCGUUGCGAUUGAUUGUUUUAGUGUCAGUUAUAUUCGUAAUUACGAUAAACUUAAAAGAAAUCGAAAGCAUGUUUGGGAUCAACUAAAUUCAUGGUACAAACCAAGUAACUUUUCUAAGUUUUCUUCUCUUGUCAUGAGUUUAGGUUGUUGUGGAAACUCAAUGGAAGGUUCUACAUAUGGAAGUUCCUUCUUGUUUGUCUUUGCACCUCAAGGAGAUUAAAAUUUUGAACUUUAAGGGAGACAUGCGAAUGUUUGAAAUGAUUAGUUAUUUCUUGGAUAAUGCUAUGGUCUUGGAAAAGCUCAUGAUAGGAAUGAAAUCCCUGUCCGAGACACAACAAUCGAUUGUCUUCAACCAAUUACUGCAGUUACCUAAGAGUUCAAAGAAAUGUCAAGUUGUGAUUUUCUAGUACUGUUUUAUGUUAUGGCUAGAACUGAUCAGUGUCUGGUUUGGUUUUGUAUAGAUGUGUUGUUUGAAAUAUACAUUUGGUGUUAAUAUCCUAUACAGUCACUAAUGGCAAUACUGAAUAUCUGAUAGUUGGUUUAUAUAUGUAUUUGUGAAUGUAUAUUUAUGGGUAUAUAUAUGUAUUGUAGCCAAAAAUAGCCUUUGAAAUUGAUAUGUAGCCCAUGAUUGGAAAAAUAGAAACAUAUUUUAAUUUGUAAGAAACAAUCGUAUGAUAUACCUUACACAACAAGCUCUGAUAGGAAGAACAUCAGAUUGAUUUGGAACUAUUUGAGAAGAAGAAAAAGGGGAGCUCUCUAGUUAUGGUGAUUUGUACAUUCUUACCAACAACAAAGAAGGCUUCCAUUGUUCCUGUUAUAGGCUAGCAUUGGUUCAACACAGGCCAUUGAAGAUGAAGGUUUGAGAACUUGAGAUUUUAGCCUGCUAGAAUGCUGGAAUUUAGCUUCCUUGAGACUGAAAUGAUGUUUAAGAUCCCUUGAUUUGACAAUGGAACUCACACCAUUGACUUCAAUGCUUGCGCCUUACAGGUCAGUCAGUGUUGAGAAUAUCCAACUCUAAACUCGUCUCUCUGGUGCAUUCCUCUGUCAAAAUAUCAUCUGAAAGUUUCAGUGUUGCGUGAAAGAAAUUUGGUGAAAUUAUCAUGAAAUUAUGAGUGAGGUACUUUUACUAAAAAAAAGAGUAAAUUAAUCCUGUAGUAUGAAGAUUAAAGAGCAAAAUAAUCAUCCCAUUAAGAAAAAGGCUUUAAGUAACAGUAAAGACAGCGAUGUCGUGCCCAAGAGAACCUAGCUCGGAUACGAGAUUGAAGAACAAAUAGCUGACAAACGGAAAAAUAAAAUAAAAUAAAAAGAACAAAUAACUAACAGGAAGAAUAAGACGCAAAGGGAUGAUGAUUUAUUCAAUGAAAUGAGUGCAUAUUUAUAGGCUUAGCAAAGACCUAUUUUUAGGCUAAACAAAUUCACUAAAAAUUUGGAAACAGCCAAACAAAUAAGUAAAAAAUAGCUAACAAAUAAAUAGCGAAAAUAUGAGGAUAGACUUGGUCAAUAAAUGACCACGUGUUGACUUGGUCAAUAAAUGACUACGUGUUGAUGUUGAUAUCUUCAACAGUUAGCAUUCGCAUAACCGACUAAAGAAAGUCGAUCAGAAAGAUAAAAAACAAUCCCAUACUCAUAAUAAGGGUGGAUGCCAUGAUUGCAACACAUGAAAGUAAAGCCCGCAACCAAUUAUUGCGGUUACUAAAGAGUUCAAAGAAAUGUCUAAUUGUAGUACUAAAUUAUCAGAUUCUUUUGAAAUGCAAAUUCGGUUUUGAGUCAAACUAUUUUAAUUUAAUAGAGGUUUGGAUUUUGUUUUUGCAUUUUUGUAUUUUUCUUCUCUUAUUUGCUAGCAACUUCAUUUAAUUACUUAAAAUUUUUCAUUUAAAUUAUUAUUCAGUUAAAAUAAUUGAUGUAUGAUUUUUUAUUGUGCUCGCUUGUACGAAUCAACAGCUAUUUUUUUUCCCUCAAUUUUUUCAUAAAAAAUUAAGAUCCCUGUCAAGCAAAUUGUACUCUAAUAUGCUCCUAUAAUAUUCACAAUACAUAAUGACAUAAAUUUUUUGGUAGAAUUAACAUUAAAGUCUAUAUACUAAGAGUUAAAUUCAUUUACAUUUUCAUUUUCAUAAAGUAGGUUGGAUAAAAUUAAAUUUAAUAUUUUUGGUUUUUCAUCGAUUAAAUAAAUGUUUUUAGAUUCAAACUAGAUCGUUCGGUUGAAAAUUUAAUUGAUUGCAGUAUUGGUCUGAAGAUAAAGGUCAAAUCGAUUGACCUAUAAAGUGAAACAAAUAAUCAAGUUUAGAAAAAUCGGUGAAUUUUCUCUAUUCUUUAAAUAAUUUAUUUUUUAUUUUAUGAUUUUUUUUAAACAAAUAACCAAUCUUAAACCUCUCGCCAAUGCAAGUCCGGUCUGCCUUUAAUCGUCGACAAUGUAUGAUAGUAAGACUGUGUAUCGGAGAGACGAUACACAUCUCCUUUGCGUGGCAGAUGGUCCAGAUUUAAUGAAUCGCUAACUAUUGAAGAGAGGAGAAAUUGUUAUCUCUAAUGUUUCCAACCUUGUGAAUUCAGGUAAUGCUUCCUCUUACCUAUUAUCUUACUAUGAACAUGUCUGCAAAUGGUAAGGGUUGGCUGAUGGACAUAGGUAAUCUGCAUAUGUAAUGUAAGUUCUGGAAAUUUGAUCAUCACAGAAGUUAAAAACUUAGGUCCUUUACGCUAUGGCUUUUCUAGUCUAAUAUGAGAAAUGCAUAUCAGGUUAAUUAUGCAUCUUAGAUAGCAAAGGCUUGUUGGAUCGGGAUAUUGAUCUGAAAUAAGAGAUUGGAUUGUCUGACUUUAGAAAUGGUAUGAACCAAUUGAACCGACCGUUGGAGUAAAAAUCUUGAAAAUCUUAUUAGAACUUAUCCUAGGCCAAAGUUGGGUUCAAUCAAGUUUUUGCAAUAACCUAAACUCACAAGAGAAAGAACAAGAGAAAUGUUAUUGUAAUUGUGAAUAUCGAAAAUAAUCAAUUACAAUAAAUACGAGUAUUUAAACAAAAUUUCAUAAUAAAUCGAGAAUAAGUGUCUUUAAAUUGGACACACGCAUUAUGUCUUGUUCAUUUCUUCAGGAGAUGAUGCGGGUUACAUACUUCACAGUUGAUCAAUUAAGAAAAGACAUGAAGGAAUAGUACAGGUAAUAACUUUGAGAUUUACUUUGUACAUGUAUUAUAUUUCACAUUGGGUAAAACUUAAGGGAUCAAUUUUGAUAUUAACCCUAAAUCUUAUAUAAACCUACGAAAGUACGGCAUUAACAAUAAGUUUUUUGUAUCUCUAGCAGCUUCUGCCAAAGGUAAGAACUUUCCUUUUCUUCCUUCCACAGAUCCGAGUCGGUGGCUGUCACCGCUACCCACGGCCGCCAUCAGAGUUCGAAGCCAGACAUAAGCUAGUGAAGCCAAACCACAAAACAAAAGCGAAAAACUCUCCGGUUCCUAUCGCCGGCCGUCGGACAGGUCUGCAGUUUUCUUAUCUUAUGGCGAUGUGUUCCGAAGACAGAAUCAGUAGUUUACCGGAUCAUAUUCUUUGUCAUAUUUUGUCUUUCCUUCCUCUUAAAGAAGCAGUUCGAACCUCUAUUAUUUCAACCAAGUGGAGAUACCUCUUUGCUUCAAUUUCUACCAUUGAAUUUGAUCGUUGUUUACUGAGUGAUUUGACUGACAGAAAUGUUGACAGCUUCAAGAACUUUGUUGAUAGGUUAUUGAAAUUCCCCGAUCAGGUAAGUUUAGAUUGCUUUAGGCUAAGUGAUGGGAUUCCAUGGGAUGGUGAAGAUCAUGAUUUUGAUGUUUUUGGUUGGAUAUGUGCUGCAUUGUGCCGUGGUGUUAAGGAAAUUCAUUUGUACUUAGAUUAUUUUGGGUAUGUUCUCACUGUACCAGCUGUUUUAUUCACUUGCCACUCACUGGUGACACUGAAAUUGAAUGCAGCAUGUCGUAAGAUUUAUGUCCCAUCUGACGUUUGUUUAGGGAAUCUGAAGACUUUGCAGCUUAGAAACUCGGUAGUUGACGGUGAUUCCAUUCAUAGGUUAAUUUCCAAUUGCCAUGUCUUAGAAGAUUUGGCUUUUAUUGAAUGUCAUCUUGUGUAUGCAAGUGCGCUCAAUAUCAAAACUCCUUUUCUUAAGAGAUUUGUUUUAGAUUUAAAUGUGAUAGAAUUCGGAGAUUUCAAUAAUGUGGUGGUGAUUAAUGCUCCAAAUCUUGAAAAAGCCGAUAUUAGCAUCUAUCUGUUUGGUUCCAGUGAUCGUGAAACAAGUGCAACCCAUCUUAUUCAAGGAAUUUGCACUGUGCGGUCUCUGAAUUUAACCAUUGAUGACGUGGUUAGUAAACUUAGUAUUCAUGUGUGAUUUUCCUUUUAACAUCAUAUAAUUUAACAUUAUAUAAUAGCCUCAAGUAUUUUUGUGUGCAGUUUUUCCGAACGUGUCGGCUUCCUAUAUUUCACAACCUUAUUGAAUUUGAAAUAUUUCACAACCUUAUUGAAUUUGAAUAUGGUGGUCUUGGUUCUAAUGGGAGAGGAACUUGGCUUGUGGAGUUUCUACAUUGUGCGCCUAAUCUAAAUACGCUUACCCUCAAUUUUCUGGUAUGAAGUCUUUUUCUGAGUACGUGUAUUCGUUGCGAUUGAUUGUUUUAGUGUCAGUUAUAUUCAUAAUUACGAUAAACUUAAAAGAAAUCGAAAGCAUGUUCGGGAUCAACUAAAUUCAUGGUACAAACCAAGUAACUUUUCUAAGUUUUCUUCUCUUGUCAUGAGUUUAGGUUGUUGUGGAAACUCAAUGGAAGGUUCUACAUAUGGAAGUUCCUUCUUGUUUGUCUUUGCACCUCAAGGAGAUUAAAAUUUUGAACUUUAAGGGAAACAUGCGAAUGUUUGAAAUGAUUAGUUAUUUCUUGGAUAAUGCUAUGGUCUUGGAAAGCUCAUGAUAGGAAUGAAAUCCCUGUCCGAGACACAACAAUCGAUUGUCUUCAACCAAUUAUUGCAGUUACCUAAGAGUUCAAAGAAAUGUCAAGUUGUGAUUUUCUAGUACUGUUUUAUGUUAUGGCUAGAACUGAUCAGUGUCUGGUUUGGUUUUGUAUAGAUGUGUUGUUUGAAAU